RNAcentral lists this ribosomal RNA (492 nucleotides) under uncultured bacterium. RNAcentral's name for it is "partial 16S ribosomal RNA". It matches the Rfam family "Bacterial small subunit ribosomal RNA", at positions 29 to 507 of the family's 1533-position model. The record is from RNAcentral.
AGUGAACGCUGGCGGUAGGCCUAACACAUGCAAGUCGAACGGCAGCACAGUAAGCUCUUGCUCUUACGGGUGGCGGGUGGCGGACGGGUAAGGCAUGCAUCGGAAUCUACUUUUUCGGGGGGGAUAACGUAGGGAAACUUACGCUACUACCGCAUACGACCUACGGCUGAAAGCAGGGGAUCUUCAGACCUUGCGCGAUUGAAUGAGCCGAUGUCGGAUUAGCUAGUUGGCGGGGUAAAGGCCCACCAAGGCGACGAUCCGUAGCUGGUCUGAGAGGAUGAUCAGCCACACUGGAACUGAGACACGGUCCAGACUCCUACGGGAGGCAGCAGUGGGGAAUAUUGGACAAUGGGCGAAAGCCUGAUCCAGCCAUACCGCGUGAGUGAAGAAGGCCUUCGGGUUGUAAAGCCCUGUUGUUGGGAAAGAAAAGCAGCAUGUGAAAACACCGCUGUUCUGACGGUACCCAAAGAAUAAGCACCAGCUAACUUCGUG